UAACAUUUUAAGUAUCAAUUUCAG
RNAcentral lists this non-coding RNA (24 nucleotides) under Arabidopsis thaliana (thale cress). Lineage: Eukaryota; Viridiplantae; Streptophyta; Magnoliopsida; Brassicales; Brassicaceae. The record is from RNAcentral.